UACGGGGGGGGCAAGCGUUGUCCGGAAUUACUGGGCGUAAAGGGCUCGUAGGCGGCCAACUAAGUCAGACGUGAAAUCCCUCGGCUUAACCGGGGAACUGCAUCUGAUACUGGAUGGCUUGAGUUCGGGAGAGGGAUGCGGAAUUCCAGGUGUAGCGGUGAAAUGCGUAGAUAUCUGGAGGAACACCGGUGGCGAAGGCGGCAUCCUGGACCGACACUGACGCUGAGGAGCGAAAGUCAGGGGAGCAAACGGG
This 253-nucleotide ribosomal RNA is filed under the name uncultured bacterium. Its description in RNAcentral is "partial 16S ribosomal RNA". It matches the Rfam family "Bacterial small subunit ribosomal RNA", at positions 524 to 776 of the family's 1533-position model. The record is from RNAcentral.